CACGGAGGCCCCGAGCGUUGUUCGGAAUUACUGGGCGUAAAGAGUGCGUAGGCGGCGAGGCAAGUCAGAUGUGAAAGCCCGGGGCUCAACCCCGGAAUUGCAUCCGAAACUGCCUUGCUUGAGGGUUGGAGAGGAGACUGGAAUUCACGGUGUAGCAGUGAAAUGCGUGGAUAUCGUGAGGAAGACCAAUGGCGAAGGCAGGUCUCUGGACAACUCCUGACGCUGAGGCACGAAGGCCAGGGGAGCGAAAAGG
RNAcentral lists this ribosomal RNA (253 nucleotides) under uncultured bacterium. Its description in RNAcentral is "partial 16S ribosomal RNA". It matches the Rfam family "Bacterial small subunit ribosomal RNA", at positions 524 to 776 of the family's 1533-position model. The record is from RNAcentral.